GGAGACGUAUCGAAGAGGCCGUAACGAGACUGACUCGAAAUCAGUUUGUCCGAAAGGGCACGAGGGUUCGAAUCCCUCCGUCUCCG
RNAcentral lists this transfer RNA (86 nucleotides) under Lachnospiraceae bacterium. RNAcentral describes it as "tRNA-Ser". It matches the Rfam family "tRNA". Rfam says of the family: Transfer RNA (tRNA) molecules are approximately 80 nucleotides in length. Their secondary structure includes four short double-helical elements and three loops (D, anti-codon, and T loops). The record is from RNAcentral. Lineage: Bacteria; Bacillati; Bacillota; Clostridia; Lachnospirales; Lachnospiraceae.